UUAAUGGUGGCCGGACAAGUGAUUUAAGGCGUCCAUUACCGACUGUGAAACGACAGAAAGAGACGGAAGCAGAACUGUCAACAACGCACGACUGAGAGGGGCUUCAAAAGCAAACUUGAGUGUGCGUGGGCAUCAUCAGCCACAAUGAGGAUUCUCAAGGUGUUCACUGUUGCCCUUGUGCUGUUUGGAACCAGCUGUCUUUCUGCAAAGAUAAAGAGACAAGUGCCAUCCAAUGCAGCUUUUACCCCAGAUGACAAUAGUCCACCUGGAUCACCUCCAGGAAGUCCACCUGGACCACCUCCAGGAAGUCCACCUGGAUCACCUCCAGGAAGUCCACCUGGACC
Long non-coding RNA from Hippocampus comes (tiger tail seahorse), 344 nucleotides. RefSeq lists it as uncharacterized. The transcript is spliced from 3 exons. The record is from RefSeq and is a predicted model, not a curated record. Lineage: Eukaryota; Metazoa; Chordata; Actinopteri; Syngnathiformes; Syngnathidae.